UCAAGACAGUGUGGUAUAAUCCUCAGGACCUGCGGCCCAUGGGGGAGAAACUCCCACCCUUCGCUCCUUCUAAGAUGGCUCCGCUCUACUUGUGAGGCUGAAGCUCGGUUACAUAAUGGAAAUGAAGGCCAUCAGCAAACUUAGUUUUACUUUCGUAGCCUCCAAAGCACUAAAUUGUACCUACUGUACUCCAAGGAAACACAGAAGGUAUUUUAAAAGCUACUAAAACAUUCCCAAGUAAUUCUGAGUUUUUGUCAGCUGUUUGAUGGUCUGUUUAAACGUGGUUUCCAUUGUUUUUACUCAAGUUUUCAGCUCAAAUCCACUUAAACAUCUGGGUACAGAGUUUGCGAGCAAGUUAUAUAAACUGUUAAGGAAAAACCUAGAGUCUUAUAAACCAGAUUCUAUUUUUAACUCCUUCCGAGGAACUAUUUUUGCUUCCCUCACAAAGGCGGCGGAGGGUUAUUGGAUGACGGGGGUGUGAGGUGUCCUUGGGCUAUAAAUACGCCGCGCGCUGCGGGUCGGGAGGCCGGCAUUGAGGCAGCGAGCGCAGAGGCGGCUGAGAGGCAGGAAACGCUUCUUGAGGAGACUGCAGAUAAGUUUUUCCGCUAAAAUAGGGAUUAUUCUUAUUCUCUAGGAAUUAUAAAUUAGCGAAAAUACUGAGCUGUAGUUUUGAGUUAAAUUCGUGAGAGUAGAUUUGAUAAUUAACAAGAAGGUCUUAUUUUAGGGGAAAAUGGAGACGUCCUUAAAAAAUAGUAUGAGAAAGGAAGAAAGAAGAAAAAAGAUAAUAUUAGAACAUGACGGAGGUUAAGAGCUGAAGCUUCUUCAUGGAGUGAGAAAGCUAAUUUUAAAAGGAGUUGCCGAGACAGGACUGCAAAGUAUGGAAUUUUAAAGUCUUAAAUUGAAGGGUAGCUUUUUAGAUUAUUGUUCAAACGUAAUGCUAUAAAUAGAACCUAAACAAUAUUUUUAAAGUCGAGUCGUAGAUGGAUUAAAAUGUUUUAAAAGCCAUCUUUAAAGGUCAGUUGAAGGUGAUUUAAGAAAUGCCUUCAAAUUCACGGCGCGAUCAAAAACUGCGUCAUUUGAAGCCUUAAGGCUUUCUUUGGAAGUUGAUGCAAGUAUUAGUGGAGAAAGAAGAUUAGAAAUUUGAAGUGGAAAACUCGGAAGACAAGUACAGGAAGGUGAAGAAAAGAUUAGCGAAGAUAGGAAAACUAGAAGAUAAAAAAUACGGCUUUUAGAAGACAGAAAAAAACUAAGCCCAGAAGGUAGGAGGCAGAAGACAUCUAGAAAGAGAAGGUUGAAAAGAUGUUCGAAUGUUUGAGGUAGAAAAUGAGAAACAAGCUGUUGGAGACAAGCAUACAAGAUAGAGGUCCAAGUAAUUGGAAGAUAGAAAAGUCCGAAGCCAAAAAAUUGGAUAAGUACAAGACGCAAAACUAAGAAAAAUAAUUUUUAAUAGUUAAAUUUAUUUAAAAAGCCCAUCAACUUUAAUUUGUGGUGGUGCAGAAGUUAGAUCUGAGAAGAGGGUUUUAAACUACUGUAGACCAAGACCAACUUAGAAGAAUAUCUCGAAGCUAUAGAGAGAAGUAAAUUUAAAAUCACAGCAAAAAGCUACUAAAAAGACUGAUGUAAAAAUUAAGGUAGACGGAAGAGUUAAAAAUUUGAAAGGCCUUAAAUCCAUACAGUAGUUUAGUUUCUUCUGGAAAACUUAAAGGACGAUAAAUUCAAGAGCGAGGAUAACCAAGUUAACAUUUUUUGCAUUGGACUUUGAGCUAAGAUGAAUUUCUAAACCCUGAGGACUAGGCGCUAAUUAACAGCUGACCAGGUGCUACACAGAAGUGGAUUCAGAGAACCUAGGAAGACAGCAGCAGACAGGAUUCCAGGAGCCAGUUUUUGGUGAAACUAGGACUGAGGAGCGAGCGGCAGUUCGUGAAGAUAGGAAGGAGGAGCCCGGGAGCCAGUGCGAUUUGGUGAAGGAAGCUAGGAAGAAGGAAGGAGCCCUAACGGUUGGAGGUGAAGCUAGGAGAGGAUUCCAGGAAGGAGGAAGCCAGUGCGAUGUGGUGGUGAUGAAGCUAGCGUGCGGCUUGGCGGCGUGGCUUGGCAACCCCGCGGAGGAGGCGAGCAGGCGGUGUGGAGGCUAGAUAGAGCGUCCUAGAGCGGCAGCCCAGUGUGCAAGGCCGGCAGGGAGAGCCAGUGGUGUGGUAAAAAUCCGUGAGGUCGGCAGUAUCGUGGGUUCUGCUUUGUUUCUUCACCUUUUUUUGGUAACAGUACGUUAAUCUUUGUUGAAUUUCCUAAUGGUGAUGGGGGAGCUGUGUACUUAAGCAUAAAGGGUUUUAUGGGGAUGUAGGCCGAUUUUCGGGUGUUGUAGGUUUCUCUUUUUCAGGCGUAUUUUCUCAUCUUGUCUGAAGCUUUUGAGGGCAGACUACCAAGGCCCGGAGGAAUAGUAGAUGGCAAGUGUUUUCGUUUUUAACCAAUAUGAGGGAAAACAAAUGAAUUUGAUAGAACAACCUUGAGACAGUUUCAGCCAGCUUUUGUAAGCAGGUUUUAUAUUUAGCUUGGUAAUGAAGCAUUUCCGUUUUGUGAGUAGAUGACUUAUUUUUCUUUCUCAUUCUCUAUUCUAAGUUACCUAUAUAUAUAUAUAGUUGGGUGUGUAAUUCGGGGGGGCAAAGGUUUUGGGGGGGGCAAAAUAUGUUUUGAGUUCUUUUCCCCUUAGGUCUGUCUAGAAUUCCAAAGGCAAAUGACUCAAGGUAACAGGAAAAAAGAAAAUCCAGUAUCAGGAUAAUCAGAACACCACAGGUUUACAGUUUGUAGAAACUAGAACACGAGCAGCUCUCACUUAAGGUCUGUGAUGGAACUCCAGUGGAGAAAUGGCUGGUACUUUUUCCACCCCUUAAUCAGAUUUUUUUUUUAAUUAAAGUAUGUAACCGGUUAUUUUUACUUGAAGUAUUUUGGGGUGGUCUUAACAGGGAAGAGGGUGGGGGAGAAAAUGUUUUUUUCUAAGAUUUUCCACAGAUGCUAUAGUACUAUUGACAAACUGAGUUAGAGAAGGAUUGUACUGCUAUGCUGUUGGCACCAAACACCUUCAGGGAUUGGAGCUGCUUUUUUCCUUGGAGUAUUCCCAGUGAAGCUGAAAUAUACAGCACAGUGCAGCUUUGGUUCAUAUUCAGUCAUCUCAGGAGAACUUCAGAAGAGCUUGACUAGGCCAAAUACUGAAGUUAAGUUUUCAAAUAAUGGAACUUUUUAAGAUGCCUUUUAAAGGGGAGGGGCAAGUUUUGGCAAUUAGUUGGCAGUGGCCUGUUUUGGUUGGGGUGGGUGGGUUGGGUUUAGGUAAUUGUUUAGUUUAUGAUUUCAGAUAACUCAUGCCAGAGAACUUAAAUACUUAGGAUGGAAAAACUAAAGAAAUCUCACCUCCCAAGUUGGCAAGUAACUCCUGAUCCUCUAGUUUCUUGUUUUACCCCAAUUUUUGAACUGGACAGCUGGGAACUUCAAAGAUUCACUGGAUUUAAAGUGUAGGGCUUGGGAAAGGAAAGUGUUGGAUUGGGGGUUGGUCUAGCCCACUGGGUUGACCAAGAUAAAAACUUGGGGAAUUGUUUAAACACUAAAGUUGUUUGGAUAUGGUAGUGUGUGGUUCUCUUUUGGAAUUUUUUUCAGGUGAUUUAAUAAAACUUAAUACUACUAUAGGAGCUUCAGAGCAAAGGAAGUGGCUUAAUGAUCCUGAAGGGAUUUCUUCUGAUGGUAGCUUUUAUAUUAUCAAACUUUUUUCAGAUAACAUCUUCUGAGUCAUACCCAGCCUGGCAAUAUGAUGGCCUAGAUGGAGAGGGGAACAGCUCCUUGGUGAAUGAUAAGUAAAGGCAGAAAAGAUUAUAUUUCAUACCUAUCUUCAUUGGGCAAAAGCAUAACUCUGAAAUCCUUAACUACUGAUGAACACAUGGUCUGCAUAUGCAAAAAAAAAUUAAGCAAAUGAAAGCUACCAAUUUAAAGUUAAUGGAAUCUACUCUUUUAAAGUUAUGGCAUAUCAAGCUGUAUCCACAAAAAUAAUGAAUCAAUGAGAAAUAAAAUAAUGAAAUGAGAAAUACCAUGAAGAUCUAAUGCCCACCUCAAAAUACUGCUUUUACAAAAGCAGAAUAAAAAGUGAAAUGAAAUGAAAAUGAUAAAGCUACACAUUAACCCUGGAAUAAAAGAAGCUGAAAUAAUUGAAAGGAGUGGGAUCAAAUGGAUUGAGAGGAAGCUGUGCUGUUUGCCAAUCUUUCGUUUGCCUCAGACAGGUUUCUCAUUAUCAGAAGAGUUGCUUCAUUUCAUCUGGGAGCAGAAAACAGCAGGCAGCUGUUCACAGAUAAGUUUAACUUGCAUCUGCAGUAUUGCAUGUUAGGGAUAAGUGCUAUGUUUAAUAAGAGCUGUGGAGGUCCUAGGUCCCUUACUCAAGGGAUCUCAGGAUUUUGAGGAAUUUUCCCAUCCAGCCUUUUAAAAUGAGACAGGCCUUAUGCCUGUGGGCUUCCAUGAUGGGCUAGCUCACUUCACUCGAGGCAAGUAAUUCCUUAAAGCCUCUUGAGAUUAAUGCCUUAAUAAUCAAGGGUAAUGUUGAUAAAAUAAAAAUUUGUUUAGCAUUGACUCUUGGAAACCCUAUGAAAAGAUAGCAUAAUGUGCUGUUAACCAGAAUCAGAUAUGUUAACCUUGCUAAAAUUUAAAUGUUAUGUGUAUUGUGCAGAAAACCGUAAAAUCACUCAAAAUAAAAUACUUUAUUUAGCGAAUGUAUGCUUUUAGAAAGCUGUCUCCUUAUUUAAAUAAAAUAUUGUUUGUCUGUAGUUAGUGUUGGGCAAUCUUGGGGGGAUUCUUCUCAUCUUUCAGAGACUUUGUCUGCGAACACUCUGUAAUGGACAAGAUCAGGAAUUGAGCUGAAGAACGAAUUUAACUUAAGGCAGGAAAGACAAAUUUUAUCCUUCGUAAAAUUGAUGACCAUUUAAUAAUUCCAGGCACAUGGCCAUAGAGACCCUCUAAAUAAAUAAGGAAUAAAUACUUAUUAGGCAGGUGGGAGAUUAUGAUCAGAAGAACAGGUAACUACACCUAUGCAUUUUUCAGAAAGUCAGGAGUCUAAAUUGACAGUACUGAAGUAUAAUGCGGUCCACAUUUCCAAAGUUUGCAUGUUAAAAUUGAAAUGCUUAUCUCAUCUAGUGUUAGCCAAUGCUUUACACUUAUUAGCCUUUUAUAUAGACACUUGGUGGGGGGCAUGUGGGUUUUUUAAAGAACUUUCCUUUGCAGAGGCUUCGUUUCAUCCUUCAUGAGGCUGUUCAGGAUUUUGACUUGCAUAUAAACGCUUGGCUCUGCCUUCUGUUCUCCUAGUGGGUGUGUGAGACCUUGCAGUGAGUUUUCAGCAUACUCAAGUAAAAAUUUUUUCCCCCUGAUUAUUUUGGAGGGAAGGGAGGAGAGGGUGGGGCUUACUUGUUUAGCUUUUUUUUUGCAGACUACACAGAAUGCAGUUGUCUUGACCUCAGGUCUGUCUGUUCUGUUGGCAAGUAAUAAUGCAGUACUGUUCUGACCUGCUGCUAUUAGAAUGCAUUGUGAAACGACUGGAGUAUGAUUAAAAGUUAUGUUUCCCCCAAUGCUUGGAGUAGUGAUUGUUGAAGGAGAAUCCACUGAGUGAUAAAAGGCUGAGUGUUGAGGAAAUUUCUGCAGCUUUAAGCAUUCAUGUUUGUGAUUGAAGCAGUCCUUUUUGCUGUGCUUUAGGUAAAAUGCUUUUUUGUUCACUUCUGGUAGGGGGGGUGGGGAGGGCACUGAAGCCUUUAGUCUUUUCCAGAUGCAACUUUAAAAUCAGUGACAAGAAAUAAGUUCCAAACGAACAACAGACUUCAAGAAGUUUAACUGGCAAGUGGAAAUGUUUUAACCUCAGUUCAGUGGUCUUAGUGCAUUGUGUGUGCAGGUUUCUCUCUUCCCUCCCUUGGUCUCAAUUCUUAUACACAGGAACAUUCAGAACAACAGAUGAAGGGCCAGAGAAGCCAGACCCAGUAAGGAAAAAAAAAUAGUUCAUUUGCUUUUAAUAAACAAACCAAACAUUCCAUUUUAAAUGUGGGGAUUGGGAACCACUAGUUCUUUCAGAUGGUACUCUUCAGACUAGAAGGAGCUUCCAGUUGAAUUCACCAGGGGACAAAAUGAGGACAACAGGUGAACAAGCUUUUUCUAUGUUUACAUACCAAGUCAGAUCUGUUCCGGGUAAAUUAGUGUCAAAUGGCCUUUCAGCUUUAUGCUGGAAUAAACAGCAUGAGCAAGUUUGUUGGCCUGGGGGUGGAGGGGUGAGGUGGGCGCUAAGCCUUUUUUUAAGAUUUUUCAGGUACCCCUCAAUAAAGGCACCCGAAGGCUUAAAGUAGGACAACCCUGGCGCCUUCCUGUGGCAAGAGAGACAACAAAGCGCUAUUUAACUAAGGUCAAUCUAAGUGGUGUCGGCCUCACAACCCCACCUUCCGUUAGACAUGAGGACUUGCCUCAACUUGCCUCUGGGGAGUGAAGCAUCCAAAGGAAUGCCUGCGUACCUUGCGUACCCCGGGCCUGUGUGACGCCUCCCUGGGCUGUUUUUAGAGCAGCCCUUGAUGAAGCCCAGACCUCCUGAGUGGUGCUUGAAGGGGAGGGAAAGGGGGAAAGCGGGCAACCACUUCUCCCUAGCUUUUCCAGAAACCUGUUAAAAAGCAAGGUCUCCCCACAAGUGACUUCUCUGCCACAUCGCCACCCCCUGCCUUUGGCCUAGCGCAGACCCUUCACCCCUCACCUCGAUGCUGCCGGUAGCUUGGAUCCUUGUGGGCAUGAUCCAUAAGCAGUUUAAGGUAACUGGUGCCGAGGUCUUGGGUGGGUUGCACUGUUAGAAAAGACCGUUCAUUUGCCUGUAAACGUUUAAUGAUAUUAAGACCACAACUAAAAAGCUCUCCGAUGUUUUAAAUGUGUAGCAUUAUUUCUGUCCAGUGAUGAAAACAAACUUACUUGAACCAGUAAAUGAAGAAAUAACAUGUAAGAACUAUACUGUUGGGUGGGAAAGUAUAGCAAGCUGAAGGAGAUAGGCAUUUUAGCAGUUGAGGGCUGUUGGGUGGGAAUGCAAAAACUCUCUGCUAAGACUUUUUCAGGUGAACAUAACAGACUUGGCCAAGCUAGCAUCUUAGCUGAAGCAGAUUCUCCAGUGCUCUUCAGUAGGGUCUUAAAAUUUAAAGGUUUUUCUUUUCCUGAGAAAACAAAUUACUUUGUUUUCUCAGGUUUUGCUUUUUGGCCUUUACCUAGCUUUAAAAAAAAAAGCAAAAGAUGCUGGUGGUUGGCACUCCUGGCUUCCAGGACAGGGUUCAAAUCCCUGCGGCGUCUUUGCUUGACUUUUACCUCUGCCUUUCCGUUUUCCUCCUUUUUCUUCAGAUGAAAUUAGGGGAAGUGGAAGUAGCUUCGAACUAUACUAUACCUCUUGAUUGAAUUUGUUGUCCUAAACUGGUUUGUGUUUGUAUUUUCACAGGAAUCUAGUGUAAUUACUUUGCCCUUUUAAUUUUCAGGUAUCCCUCAUGCACCUGUUGUUUGGAGCAGUCUCACUAUUUUAAAAAAUAGAUGACAUAUUAAUAAAGGUUGAAAAACUUCA
Molecule: long non-coding RNA, 7585 nt
Organism: Phacochoerus africanus (Common warthog)
Lineage: Eukaryota; Metazoa; Chordata; Mammalia; Artiodactyla; Suidae
Exons: 2
Source: RefSeq, a predicted model, not a curated record